UUUGUCCCAGACACCUGGGCUGAGGCAACUUCCCCAGGUUCCCUGAAUAACAGAUUGCUAGCACCAGAAGGACUUUAAGAAAUAAAUAUGCUUCACCUGGCAUUUUAUAGCUGAGAUGGAGCAAGUGAUUUCUCAGGAAUCACACAGCUAAUGAGCUGAAGAAGUAGGAAUACUGGGGCACGUCUCUGGAUGUCUAGGUCUUUUCAAAUCCCCAUUCUUGCCUCCCUUUCCAGGAGAGCAAAAAGAAUAGCUUUUAGACCUCCUGGGUUAUACAAUGGCAAGACAACACUUUGAGGCUUCUUUCACUUGCCAGAUGAAUAAACUUAUGUGGAUGUGUCUGAGAAGUCACUGGGGGCUAUAGUUAGGGGUUAUUAGCAUCCCCAGACACUCGGACAUAGGGAAUGCAGGAUGUAGACAUUGGGAUGCAGAAGUGGAUACUGGGGAUCCUACCAUUUCCCCACAGUCAAGCUUUAAAUGGUUAAAUCAGCAAUGUUCUAGUUGUCCUCAACUUUUGACCAACAGUGGGGGGAAAAAAAGAAAAAUAAAUAAAAACCAGGGGUCCUGAGACUUUUUUCAAGAGAUUUAGAGAUUUUGACUUAGGGAUUUUUAUACUACCAACUGUUUAAGAAAUUGGAUUAUCUCUUUUCUUUAAUAUUCACUGCCCUAUCUGCCUCCAACACUCCCUUCAACAACUCAUGAAUGAGGUGUUUUCAAUGAUCUUUGUGUAGGCUGAGAUCUUUGUACAGGCUUGGAAUUCAGAGAAAGGAUUCCGGGCCUGGUGUCACUUGGUGUGGCUGCAAUAAAGAGAUGAAAUUAGCAUCAGGCUAUUUUUCACUUGCUCUCUUGGUGACCUUCUUAGGGCUACCUGGGAUAUCUUGUCUCUGUCUGUAAACUCCUAAGGCAAGGACAGUGGGCGGCCCAGAACAGCGUCAGCAAAUAGUUAAUUACUAUGUGCUUUUGAUGAUGAUGAUGAUGAAGAUAAUAUUAGGAACUUUGGGGAUUUAGAAAAUAUUCAAUUGGAGGACUGUCCUUGAAGAUCCUCCCCAGCUAGCUUCUCCAGCACCCUGAGUUCCUUUAGAGGAGCAGAGUGAAGGUGUUUAAAGCCUGCCUUCAGGCUGAGUCUAGAGGAUGCUCUUCGGUGGAAGGGGGUCGUUACAUUCCUGCCUGCUGAGUUCACGCCUGAGUUUAUCUUCGGCCUCUUCAUGAUCUCUAUAUUUUAAAAAAAUAAUUCAUUAAUUAAUAAACUUAUUACCCAGACUUUUUUAUACUCGUACAAACAUGUCUAGUUUCUUGUUUUAAUUUGAACAAAGGUUUAAGUUGAACAUGCUGCAUUAUGUGUUCUGCAAUUUGCUUCUUCCUCCUAACAAUAAAUCCUGGAUAUCUUUCUCUGCCAAGAUACCUAGAUCUGCCUCAUUUGGGCGAGUCUUUGUCCUCGUACCUGUGUGAUUCUCCGAGCGUCAUUUUUUGGCCUGCCUCUCUUUCUCGGGGUGUGAGAUUGCCUGACCUCUUGCGGUACGCUGCAGUGGGAGGUCCUAGAGGAGGCCUGGGGGGUGGGCGGGGCCCGAGGCACGCAUGGGAUAUGCAGAUGAGGUAGGCGGGGCCCCCACAUAUACCCACGGUUAGCUGCUGGCGUGUGAGCCGGGUCUCGGCAGAUUCAGUCAGAGGCAACCUACGGACCGUGCUUCACCGAGCACAGCGGAGCCUGGUACCCGGCUGUCCCGGGAGCGGGCCAUGCCCCCGCGGGAGCUAAGCGAGGCCGAGUCGUCCCCGCUCCGGGCCCCGACCCCUCCGUCGCGGCGGGGCAGCGCGUCCCCAGAGCUGGGCAUCAAGUGCGUGCUUGUGGGCGACGGCGCCGUGGGCAAGAGCAGCCUCAUCGUCAGCUAUACCUGCAAUGGGUACCCCGCGCGCUACCGGCCCACAGCGCUGGACACCUUCUCCGUGCAAGUCCUGGUUGACGGAGCCCCGGUGCGCAUUGAGCUCUGGGACACAGCGGGACAGGAAGACUUUGAUCGCCUUCGCUCCCUCUGCUACCCGGAUACGGAUGUCUUCCUGGUCUGCUUCAGCGUGGUGCAGCCCAGCUCCUUCCAAAACAUCACAGAGAAAUGGCUGCCAGAGAUCCGCACUCACAACCCCCAGGCGCCCGUGCUGCUGGUGGGCACGCAGGCCGACCUGAGGGACGAUGUCAAUGUACUGAUUCAGCUGGACCAGGGAGGCCGGAAAGGCCCCGUGCCUCAACCCCAGGCUCAGGGUCUGGCCGAGAAGAUCCGGGCCUGCUGCUACCUGGAAUGCUCUGCCUUGACGCAGAAGAACUUGAAGGAGGUGUUUGACUUGGCCAUUCUCAGUGCCAUUGAGCACAAAGCCCGGCUGGAGAAGAAACUGAACGCCAAAGGUGUGCGCACCCUCUCCCGCUGCCGCUGGAAGAAGUUCUUCUGCUUUGUUUGAAGAGCUGUGGCAGCAAAAUGAUCAGUAGGCCAAUGGCCACAGACUUCUAGAACCUGGAGCACGGAGCCUUUGAGGGACCUGCUGGCAGGGCCACGUCACCCCCGUGGGACUCAGUUCCCAUCUGAACACUGUGGCAACACAGCCUCCAACUGCCCACUCUUAUGUGCCAGGAGCACAGGCUCCAGACGGGCAGGCUCAGCGGCCAUGGCUCACGGGCCCAGCCGCUCCGUGGCAUGUGGGAUCCUCCCGGACCGGGGCACGAACCCAUAUCCCCUGCAUGGGCAGGCGGACUCUCAGCCACUUGCGCCACCAGAGAAGCCCAACCACCUGUAAUUUUAUCAACGACAAGAGAACACUGUGGACAUUUGGUAUUUGCAUUCCUUCCGCCUGCACUCCAGAGUGUAAGCUGCAGAAGAACAGGCACUGCGUCUCAGCUUUUAUUGCUCCACACCUGACACCUGCCUGGGACUGUGUACUCUGGACCCAACCCUUGCAGCAAAGACAGCGCCCGGCAGUGGCAUUGGGAUACAGAAUUGACCUCAGCCCGGAAGUGCUCAUAGAGAACCAAGGGAUAAUGAAGGUUGUUCCCAGUGCUGGGGAGACCAGAAGAGGAAUAGAGCCCAUUUCGAGCUUUGAAGGAUGGAUGAGUGGCUGGCAAGAUCUGUUCUGUGGUGUCGUAGUACCAGCGGGGGAAGGAACCACGGCAGCGGCCCACCUUGCUGGAUGCAAGGCAGUAUUCUGGGGGAAGGAAAGCUGGUGAGGGAGCUCCGAGAGCCAAUCAGCAGAGCCGGAGCAGGGUGCAGGGUGUGGGUGAGUCCUGGGUCUGCCUCCCCACCCCCUUCCUCACCUUCUGUCUGCUUGGAGGACAGCACAGUGACUGUGAUGUUGGACGUGCUCUCUCGCUGGUCUGAACCAGCCACCGUCAGCUGGAACAGGUAGCUGCCUUCCUUGAGUCCCCACAGCUCCACCUGGUCUGGAUCAUUCCUCUAAACACAGGAGUGGCCAUCAGGCUGGGACCGCUUGAUGCCCCUGGUUGGCCCCAGGUCCUCCCAGUCAGCCCCCCUACCCCACUGCGGGGAGCCGAGGGACUUGGUAUUAAAUGGAUCCUCAGCUUCUAUCCACCCCACCCCGUUUGGAGCCGCAGUUUGGCCUACAGCCCCAGAAAGGGGGCCCUGGAGAGCUGAGGUGGGGGUCAGGGAGCCAGCCCAGCAUCGCACCUCUACCCUGACGUCUGUGUCACCCUGCAGUAGGCGCCAGUCUGUGUUCUCCACACCCUUCAGCACCAGGGGUUCCUGUGGCUGUACCUUCAAGUCUGUGCCUUCCCAGGCCUUGGGGAUCCGGGACCCUGGGAGGAAGCCCACAUCACUGCUAAGAAGCCCAUCCGGACAGAGACCUUGAGCAGAGCCCUGGGCAGCACCACGUCAAGCCUUGGUGUCCCAUGAUGAUUGGCACAGGAGCAGGAUGCCUCUGCCACCUCAGACAGACUCUGCCUCCAGUUACAAGGGGGCACAAGGCAACCAUACCCUCCCCCAACCAGGGUCUUCAGAGCGGGUGUGGCCCUGCUGACACCUUGAGUUUGGACUUCUGGCCUCCAGAACUGUGAGACAGUACAUUUCUAGUGUCUUCAGUCACCCAGGGUGUAUAACAUGGCACAGCAGCCUUAGGAAAUGGACACACUGCCCUUGAGGGUACUACGGUCCAGUUAGGCAGGUAAGACCCAACAACAGGAAGCAAAAUGGGAGAAAGACCCAACAAGAUGAAGGGCUGUGUGAUACAUGUACAAGAAAAGGAGGUGGAUGUUUAGAGAAGGGAAAGCCCACAGCAAGCUAGAGGAAAAAGGCAAGGCUUUGUGAAGAAGGGAGAAAGGAUUUUUGGAUCCUUUUGUUUUUAUUUGUUUGGUUGUGGGGAAGAAUGUUGGUGUUGUUGAUGACAGCAGAAAACAUGAUGAGCCAAAGCAAGGAGUCGGGAAUUUGUAAGACUGGUUAGGUGGACAUUGAGGAGACCAGCUGGGCUGGAUAGAUCCUGCCACAACUGCAUUCUCGUCCCUCUUUCCAGAUGAGCAAAUUGACACCAGAGAGGUUAAAUGACUUGCCCAGGGUCGCUCAGUUUCAAAACGGCAGAGCUGGGGUUUGAACCCUGGUCUGAUUCAUGCUCUCUCCAAAACAUCAAAACACCAUGCUGCAGGCCAUAUGUGCUUAGAAGUGUGAUUCUUUAAAUAAUCUUUAUAGUCUUUGGGUUUUGUUUUUGUUUUUAGCUUAGGUAAUACAUGUACAUGAUGAAAUAUGCAAAAAAUACAAAAGGGUAGUGAGAAUUAAGUCCCUGAUUCUUAAACCCCCAGGUUCCUCUCUCCAGAGGCAUUCUCAAUUACUAGUUUGGGUGUGUGUGUAUGUGUGAGUAUCAAGAGAGAGUGUAUAGAAUAUUCACAAGCAUGCUAGUUCUUCAUCUUGCUUUUCCCUUAAUAUAUACUGGAAAUCAGUCAUAGCAAUAUAUAAAGAACUUCUUCUUCCUUUUUUUUGUUGUUGCAUAGUACUUAUUGUAUGAAUGCACCAAAAUUUACAACACAUUAACCAGUCCAUCAGUCUAGUCUCUCUUGAUGUAGGUCCUUCUUUCCUCCCUCCCUCCCUCCCUACUAAGAACUAACCCUUGCUACCUCAGGGUUUAUUAUUAUGAUUAAAACAGCACCACAGUAUCCAAUUAUAGGAUGUGUUGACAGACACUGAGCUUGUUUCCAAUUCUUUGCUCUUAUAAACAAUGGUACAGUGACUGAUUGCCUGGUAAGUUGUUUUACACAAGUUUAAGCAUAGCUGCAAGAUGAGUUCCUGCAAGUGGAGUCAUGUUGAGGGUUAUAUGCAUUUACAUUUUGGGUGGGUAUUGCCCAACUGCCCUCCACAGAGGCUCUGCAGAGGGUUACAUCAAGUUUAAGAGUUCAAAGAAGAGAAGGUAGAGAUAAG
Molecule: RNA transcript, 5393 nt
Organism: Globicephala melas (long-finned pilot whale)
Lineage: Eukaryota; Metazoa; Chordata; Mammalia; Artiodactyla; Delphinidae
Gene: RHOV
Gene name: ras homolog family member V
Source: RefSeq, a predicted model, not a curated record